GACGAACUCUGGCGGCGCGCUUAACACAUGCAAGUCGAACGGAAAGGCCUGCUUUCCCUUGUGGAUUGCGGGUACUCGAGUGGCGAACGGGUGAGUAACACGUGAGUGAUCUGCCCCCAACUUGGGUAUAAGCCUGGGAAACUGGGUCUAAUUCCCGAUAGGACUGCAGGGUGGUGCCUGUGGUGGAAAACGAUUUUCUAGUGGUUGGGGAUGAGCUCGCGGCCUAUCAGCUUGUUGGUGGGGUAAUGGCCUACCAAGGCGGCGACGGGUAGCCGGCCUGAGAGGGUGGACGGGCACAUUGGGACUGAGAUACGGCCCAGACUCCUACGGGAGGCAGCAGUGGGGAAUAUUGCACAAUGGGCGGAAGCCUGAUGCAGCGACGCCGCGUGGGGGAUGACGGCCUUCGGGUUGUAAACUCCUUUCGACCGAGAGGAAGCCACCUGGUUGGAAGGGUGGUGACGGUAGUGGUAGAAGAAGCACCGGCUAACUACGUG
Molecule: ribosomal RNA, 494 nt
Filed under: uncultured bacterium
Lineage: Bacteria
Description: partial 16S ribosomal RNA
Rfam family: Bacterial small subunit ribosomal RNA
Source: RNAcentral